AUUGAACGCUGGCGGAAUGCUUUACACAUGCAAGUCGAACGGCAGCACGGGUGCUUGCACCUGGUGGCGAGUGGCGAACGGGUGAGUAAUAUAUCGGAACGUAUCCAAUAAUGGGGGAUAACUAGCCGACAGGUUAGCUAAUACCGCAUACGCCCUGAGGGGGAAAGCUGGGGAUCGUAAGACCUAGCGUUGAUGGAGCGGCCGAUAUCUGAUUAGCUAGUUUGUGGGGUGAGAGCCUACCAAGGCGACGAUCAGUAGCUGGUCUUAGAGGACCACCAGCCACACUGAAACUGAAUCACGGUCCAGACUCCUACGGGUGGCAGCAGUGGUGAAUUUUGGACAAUGGGGGCAACCCUGCUCGAGACACUCCGCGUGAGUGAAGAAGGCCUGCGGGUUGUAAAGCUCUUUCGCAAGGGAAGAAAACUCGAUCUCUAAUAUAGGUUGAGGCUGACGGUACCUUGAUAAGAAGCACCGGCUAACUACGUGCCAGCCGCCGCAGUAA
This 502-nucleotide ribosomal RNA is filed under the name uncultured bacterium. RNAcentral's name for it is "partial 16S ribosomal RNA". It matches the Rfam family "Bacterial small subunit ribosomal RNA", at positions 30 to 523 of the family's 1533-position model. The record is from RNAcentral.